UACAGAGGGUGCAAGCGUUGUUCGGAAUUAUUGGGCGUAAAGGGCGCGUAGGCGGUGCUGUAAGUCUGUGGUGAAAUCUCUGGGCUCAACUCAGAGUCUGCCAUAGAAACUGCAGUGCUGGAGUGUGGGAGAGGUGAGUGGAAUUCCCGGUGUAGCGGUGAAAUGCGUAGAUAUCUGGAGGAACACCGGUGGCGAAGGCGGCAUCCUGGACCGACACUGACGCUGAGGAGCGAAAGCCAGGGGAGCAAACGGG
This 253-nucleotide ribosomal RNA is filed under the name uncultured bacterium. RNAcentral describes it as "partial 16S ribosomal RNA". It matches the Rfam family "Bacterial small subunit ribosomal RNA", at positions 524 to 776 of the family's 1533-position model. The record is from RNAcentral.